This 1026-nucleotide long non-coding RNA is filed under the name Ooceraea biroi (clonal raider ant). Its description in RNAcentral is "uncharacterized LOC113563630". Lineage: Eukaryota; Metazoa; Arthropoda; Insecta; Hymenoptera; Formicidae. The record is from RNAcentral.
AAACUACGAAGCCACAUCCACUUUACUAUCGAUAAGUAGUUACUCGAAUCGGUGUGAAUGUGCCAACACAUUAACAAACUGCUGAAAAGCGACGAAAAUGACACAUGUUAAUAACAAUACGCGCAUAGAGAUGUGUUCACAUCUAUUAAGAUAUGUGUAUUCGUAUAAAAAAUACAAAAAUGCGCAAAAAUACGCAAUUCUAAGAAGAAUUGAUAUAAAAUAUUAUUAGGUGGCUCGGAUACUGCACGCAGACUGACUAUCUGUCUAUCGCGACCAUCGCCAUGCGACUUCUGGUCCGCGACUGCCGGGCCCGUUCGCGCUAUCGAGCUCGCGCUCGUCCUUUGUUUUUUCAGUUCCGUACCUAUAAAAUAUGCGCAACGUCCUUCCAGGACACACUUAUUGAUAGGGAUACAGUUAUUGACACAUUAACUCUUUUAACUUAAAUUUCUCGUCACAUGCACGACGCUCGUAUGCAAAGUUUAUAUGCUCGUACAAAGUACCUUUUCGCCAACAGAUUUACUGAGUUAUCUUAGAUUUCUGUCAUUGCGUUUCGAAGCGGCCAGCAAAACCAUGCACUGAUCUAUUCGGAACAUCGCCAGGAGUGGGUCAGUGAUUGUUUUUGCUACCGCUUUGAAACGCAAUGACAGAAAUCCAAGAUAACGCAGUAAAUUUAUUGGUGAAGGAGUACUUUGUACGAGCAUAUGAACGUUUCACACAAGAGCCAUGCAUGUGUCGAGAAAUUUCAAUUAAACACAUUAAUGUGUCAAUAACUAUAUCCGUGUCAGUGAUUGUAUCUCUUACCCUAUGUUCAUUUGGUUUCAAUAAAGCGCAAUAUCUGACAAUUUGUGUUCCUCUGUCUUAUUACUUAUUUCUUACUAGCUCUUUUUGUUGCUACUGUUAUUGUUUUUAUACGAAAGUGUUUUAAUGUUAUAUGUCGUUCCUCAAACGUUGGUUUGAAAUAUCAUUUCACAUAUGGAAUGUAUCAAAACUGACGGACGAAAUACACUCCUUUAUAGAAAUUUAUUA